RNAcentral lists this ribosomal RNA (337 nucleotides) under uncultured soil bacterium. Its description in RNAcentral is "bacterial SSU rRNA". It matches the Rfam family "Bacterial small subunit ribosomal RNA", at positions 26 to 369 of the family's 1533-position model. The record is from RNAcentral.
AGGACAAACGCUGGCGGCGUGCUUAAUACAUGCAAGUCGAACGGUCCCCUUAGGGGGAUAGUGGCGGACGGGUGAGUAACACGUAGACGACCUGCCUCGAAGUGGGGAAUAACGUCUCGAAAGAGACGCUAAUACCGCAUAAGCUCUCAGUCGUGGGACGGAGAGGAAACCUUCGCAAGAGGGGCUAUGAGAGGGGUCUGCGGCGGAUUAGCUAGUUGGGUAGGUAACGGCUGCCCAAGGCGACGAUCCGUAGCUGGUCUGAGAGGACGGCCAGCCACACUGGGACUGAGACACGGCCCAGACUCCUACGGGAGGCCAGCAGUGAGGAAUAUUCCAC